RNAcentral lists this transfer RNA (78 nucleotides) under Methylobacterium symbioticum. Its description in RNAcentral is "Methylobacterium sp. SB0023/3 tRNA-Met". It matches the Rfam family "tRNA". Rfam says of the family: Transfer RNA (tRNA) molecules are approximately 80 nucleotides in length. The record is from RNAcentral. Lineage: Bacteria; Pseudomonadati; Pseudomonadota; Alphaproteobacteria; Hyphomicrobiales; Methylobacteriaceae.
UGGAGUGUAGCUCAGUCGGUAGAGCGCCGCCCUCAUAAGGCGGGACCGUCGCCGGUUCGAACCCGGCCACUCCGACCA